CGCGGUGGGGAGUCACCUUGUGGUGGCGGGGCUUGAAGCGUUUGUGGGCGGUGCCACCUUUUUUCAUGGCUCGCCGGUCACUGAAGGGUUCAGUGUCUGUCGACACCGUGGUCCAAGCAUUGCUCCUUCAUUCCCAUGUGACUGCUAUGUUGAGAUAGCAUGGCUACUUUUUAUAUCACAGCUCCUGAUCAACACUACCAUUGCCCUAGAGAAUCAAAACCAUCAGACUUGUGCCGUGAUUGUCAGGUGAAGACAGAUGGGGCACUUUGGUACGAAACUGGAAUGUACACUGGUCCACAAGGGUUUGGGUGCUGUCAGGCAAGCAGGCCAGACCCACUCGCUCAGCACUCUGGAACAUCUGCAUGUUAGCCAGUCAGGCGAUCACAUGGAAGCUCUUGUGUAUCACUGUUCUUGGUCCACUU
Portunus trituberculatus (swimming crab) is the source of this 422-nucleotide long non-coding RNA. RefSeq lists it as uncharacterized. The record is from RefSeq and is a predicted model, not a curated record. Lineage: Eukaryota; Metazoa; Arthropoda; Malacostraca; Decapoda; Portunidae. The transcript is spliced from 3 exons.